Molecule: non-coding RNA, 114 nt
Organism: Triticum aestivum (bread wheat)
Lineage: Eukaryota; Viridiplantae; Streptophyta; Magnoliopsida; Poales; Poaceae
Source: Rfam
AACAUACUCCCUUCGUUUGGGAUUACUUGUCUCGGAUAUGGAUGUAUCUAGAACUACAAUAUGUCUAGAUACAUCCAUUUCUGCGACAAGUAAUCCGAACGGAGGGAGUACUUA